GAAGGCUUGGCGCGUUCAAGGAAGAGAAGGAAGUGCCACCAGUGUGUGCAUGAGAAAAUGUAUUUCCAUGUGUGAGAUAGACAAUCUCUGCUUACGUGUAUCCACACUAGAAUUGUGCAAUUCGUUUCGGUCAGAAUUUAAAUUCGGACGAAUUUCUGUAAUUCGGACAUUCGGAUGCAUCCGAAUACCUGAAGUGACGAAUUUCAGUGCUGAAUUUCAGAAGUGCCGAACCGAACCAAAUUUUUUGCCCAUGCACAUCCCUAAUCCACACCUCCCUAUUUUAGACCCAAAUCUUUCUG
Non-coding RNA from Pelobates cultripes (western spadefoot toad), 299 nucleotides. The record is from the annotation of a GenBank genome assembly. Lineage: Eukaryota; Metazoa; Chordata; Amphibia; Anura; Pelobatidae.